This 526-nucleotide ribosomal RNA is filed under the name uncultured bacterium. RNAcentral describes it as "bacterial SSU rRNA". It matches the Rfam family "Bacterial small subunit ribosomal RNA", at positions 983 to 1509 of the family's 1533-position model. The record is from RNAcentral.
GACAUCCAGAGAACUUAGCAGAGAUGCUUUGGUGCCUUCGGGAACUCUGAGACAGGUGCUGCAUGGCUGUCGUCAGCUCGUGUUGUGAAAUGUUGGGUUAAGUCCCGCAACGAGCGCAACCCUUAUCCUUUGUUGCCAGCGGUUCGGUCGGGAACUCAAAGGAGACUGCCGGUGAUAAACCGGAGGAAGGUGGGGAUGACGUCAAGUCAUCAUGGCCCUUACGGCCAGGGCUACACACGUGCUACAAUGGCGCAUACAAAGAGAAGCGACCUCGCGAGAGCAAGCGGACCUCAUAAAGUGCGUCGUAGUCCGGAUUGGAGUCUGCAACUCGACUCCAUGAAGUCGGAAUCGCUAGUAAUCGUAGAUCAGAAUGCUACGGUGAAUACGUUCCCGGGCCUUGUACACACCGCCCGUCACACCAUGGGAGUGGGUUGCAAAAGAAGUAGGUAGCUUAACCUUCGGGAGGGCGCUUACCACUUUGUGAUUCAUGACUGGGGUGAAGUCGUAACAAGGUAGGCGUAGCGAG